CAGCCGCCACGGGAAUACAGAGGGUGCAAGCGUUAAUCGGAAUUACUGGGCGUAAAGCGCGCGUAGGUGGUUCGCCAAGUUGGAUGUGAAAUCCCCGGGCUCAACCUGGGAACUGCAUCCAAAACUGGCGAGCUAGAGUAUGGUAGAGGGUGGUGGAAUUUCCUGUGUAGCGGUGAAAUGCGUAGAUAUAGGAAGGAACAUCAGUGGCGAAGGCGACCACCUGGACUGAUACUGACACUGAGGUGCGAAAGCGUGGGGAGCAAACAGGAUUAGAUAUCCCAGUAGUCCCUGUCUCUUAUAC
RNAcentral lists this ribosomal RNA (301 nucleotides) under uncultured bacterium. RNAcentral describes it as "partial 16S ribosomal RNA". It matches the Rfam family "Bacterial small subunit ribosomal RNA", at positions 509 to 807 of the family's 1533-position model. The record is from RNAcentral.